This 398-nucleotide ribosomal RNA is filed under the name uncultured bacterium. RNAcentral describes it as "partial 16S ribosomal RNA". It matches the Rfam family "Bacterial small subunit ribosomal RNA", at positions 338 to 754 of the family's 1533-position model. The record is from RNAcentral.
CCUACGGAGGCUGCAGUAGGGAAGAGUGCUCAAGGGGGGAAACCCGGAAGCAGCAACGCCGCGUGGAGGAGGAAGGGUUUCGGAUUGUAAACUCCUUUUGUGAGAGAAGAUAAUGACGGUAUCUAACGAAUAAGCACCGGCGAACUCCGUGCCAGCAGCCGCGGGAAUACGGAGGGUGCAAGCGUUACUCGGAAUCACUGGGCGUAAAGAGCGCGUAGGCGGGAUAGCAAGUCAGAUGUGAAAUCCUAUGGCUUAACCAUAGAACUGCAUUUGAAACUGUUAUUCUAGAGUAUGGGAGAGGUAGGUGGAAUUCUUGGUGUAGGGGUCAAAUCCGUAGAGAUCACGAGGAAUACUCAUUGCGAAGGCGACCUGCUAGAACAUACCUGACGCUGAUGCGC